GACGAACGCUGGCGGCGUGCUUAACACAUGCAAGUCGAACGGAAAGGCCCUGCUUUUGUGCGGUGCUCGAGUGGCGAACGGGUGAGUAACACGUGAGUAACCUGCCCUUGACUUUCGGAUAACUUCAGGAAACUGGGGCUAAUAUCGGAUAGGAGCUCCUGUUGCAUGGUGGGCGUUGGAACGUUUCGGCGGUUGGGGAUGGACGCGCGGCUUAUCAGCUAGUUGGUGGGGUAGUGGCUUACCAAGGGUUUGACGGGUAGCCGGCCUGGGAGGGUGACCGGCGACAUUGGGACUGAGAGACGGCCCAGACGCGUACGGGGGGCAGCAGUGGGGAGUAUUGCACAGUGGGCGGAAGCCUGAUACAGCGACGCCGCGUGCGGGAUGACGGCCUUCGGGUUGUAAACCGCUUUCGCCUGUGACGAAGCGUGAGUGACGGUAAUGGGUAAAGAAGCACCGGCUAACUACGUG
This 468-nucleotide ribosomal RNA is filed under the name uncultured bacterium. RNAcentral's name for it is "partial 16S ribosomal RNA". It matches the Rfam family "Bacterial small subunit ribosomal RNA", at positions 28 to 507 of the family's 1533-position model. The record is from RNAcentral.